CGAACGGGUGAGUAACGCGUGAGUAACCUGCCCACAACUUUGGGAUAACGCUAGGAAACUGGUGCUAAUACUGGAUAUGUGCUCCUGCUGCAUGGUGGGGGUUGGAAAGCUCCGGCGGUUGUGGAUGGACUCGCGGCCUAUCAGCUUGUUGGUGGGGUAGUGGCCUACCAAGGCGGCGACGGGUAGCCGGCCUGAGAGGGUGACCGGCCACAUUGGGACUGAGAUACGGCCCAG
Molecule: ribosomal RNA, 234 nt
Filed under: uncultured Actinomycetales bacterium
Lineage: Bacteria; Bacillati; Actinomycetota; Actinomycetes; Actinomycetales
Description: partial 16S ribosomal RNA
Rfam family: Bacterial small subunit ribosomal RNA
Source: RNAcentral